RNAcentral lists this long non-coding RNA (676 nucleotides) under Vulpes vulpes (red fox). Its description in RNAcentral is "lncRNA (ENSVVUG00000010821.1)". The record is from RNAcentral. Lineage: Eukaryota; Metazoa; Chordata; Mammalia; Carnivora; Canidae.
AUGUCAUUUUCAUUAAAAAAAAAAAACAACUCUUGCCCGCAAGGAUUCUUUAACUCUUUUUGCUUGUGUUCUUUUGAGGCGUUGAAACUGAGAAAGAAAGAGGUGAAGGAGCUGGGAAAUCAUGAGUCAGGUGUCGGUUCCUGUCCUUAUUCUUUGCAUUCUGUUCAUUUGGGGAUACAUUUGAAAUGGAGAAGUGGAAUAUCAGUUGGAGCCCAAGACCUAAAACAAACAAAACCCCUCUCGACUUCAGAUAAUUUCCUAUUUCUUGAUGAAUGAUGAACACUUCUUUUUCUUCAUCUAUAAAUGAGGAUACGUUUUUGAACAGAUGGACUAAUUCAGGCAAUUUUCAUGUCAGUUUACCAUCAUCUCUAGUAAUUGUUCAUUUGAUUCAAACGCUUCCAGAUAAAGACUGUUUUUUGAAUGUGGAAUUUGCUUGAGAACAGAGGUCAGCUUUUGUUUUUACUUACACCACACUUUUCAGGUACUCUCCAUUUGAAAAACAAAUUUACCUGAAUUAGAUUGAUUGCACAACUGCUCUACGCUUCAGAUACUAUUUUAAAAAUCUAGGACUGGCAAAACCAAUGACAAUCAGUUACAGGAGUAGAAUGUUUAGUGGUAAUGUUGGAAAAUAACUGCAUGCUCUAGGAGUGUUAGCAUACUUUAAACUUGAUGCGAG